Molecule: ribosomal RNA, 445 nt
Filed under: uncultured bacterium
Lineage: Bacteria
Description: bacterial SSU rRNA
Rfam family: Bacterial small subunit ribosomal RNA
Source: RNAcentral
UCGCGUGAGGGAUGAAGGUUCUAUGGAUCGUAAACCUCUUUUAUAAGGGAAUAAAGUGCGGGACGUGUCCCGUUUUGUAUGUACCUUAUGAAUAAGGAUCGGCUAACUCCGUGCCAGCAGCCGCGGUAAUACGGAGGAUCCGAGCGUUAUCCGGAUUUAUUGGGUUUAAAGGGUGCGUAGGCGGCCUUUUAAGUCAGCGGUGAAAGUCUGUGGCUCAACCAUAGAAUUGCCGUUGAAACUGGGAGGCUUGAGUAUGUUUGAGGCAGGCGGAAUGCGUGGUGUAGCGGUGAAAUGCUUAGAUAUCACGCAGAACCCCGAUUGCGAAGGCAGCCUGCCAAGCCAUGACUGACGCUGAUGCACGAAAGCGUGGGGAUCAAACAGGAUUAGAUACCCUGGUAGUCCACGCAGUAAACGAUGAUCACUAGCUGUUUGCGAUACACAGUAA